GUUAAGGGAUUCCCUGCUCUGGUGCGCUUGUCUAUGUUUGGGGAAAUUUCUGCCGAACAUAGGUGAACGCACCAGAGCAGGUAAUCCCUCUAAU
Non-coding RNA from Pelobates cultripes (western spadefoot toad), 94 nucleotides. Lineage: Eukaryota; Metazoa; Chordata; Amphibia; Anura; Pelobatidae. The record is from the annotation of a GenBank genome assembly.